This 340-nucleotide unclassified non-coding RNA is filed under the name Acinetobacter kookii. Its description in RNAcentral is "Long range pseudoknot". The record is from RNAcentral. Lineage: Bacteria; Pseudomonadati; Pseudomonadota; Gammaproteobacteria; Moraxellales; Moraxellaceae.
ACUGAUGUUGGUGAUUACAACGUAAAAUUACGUGCCAUUAUCAAGUUCCUUGAAGAAGGCAACAAGGUAAAAAUCACUUUACGUUUCCGUGGUCGUGAAAUGGCUCACCAGCAGCUUGGUCUGGCUCAAUUGCAAAAAGUUGAAGCAGAUGUGGCUGAAGUCGGUGUAGUUGAACAAGCGCCAAAAAUGGAAGGUCGUCAAAUGGGUAUGCUGCUUGGUCCUAAAAAGAAAAAGUAAGCCUCUCUUGACGAAGAAAGCCCUGCAAAAGCAGGGCUUUUUUAUGGCUAUGACUUUUGAAUUGGCUUUUUAACAGUAUUCAAAAGAGCCGUCAUUGACCUGU